GAAGAAGUUUGUCAGAAAAGCAAGCAGAGGAGAAGAGGACGCUAGUAGUGACCUCAGCACAGAAAGAAGAAGCUUGACCACGUUGGCACAUCGUUUUACUGUUUGAAAGUUUGACAGUUAUCAAAGUUUGUUGAAUUGGGAAAAUCUGAAGCUGUAUAGUUGAUUCAAGUUCUGGAUGAAAAAUGUCCCCUGGUUUAUACAUGGAAAAUCACCGGUAAAUACUGUUUAUUUUUCUGAUCCCCGCCAUGCUACCAUACUUCUUUUGACUUGGACUUUCAGAGGCAGACACGUCAUCUUCAAAAACAAAUCCUUAUUGGAAAAUACAUGUACAUUUUAUACGUUACUGCAACAAAGUUGGUUAAUAAUAAAAUAAAAAUGUUUAU
Molecule: long non-coding RNA, 383 nt
Organism: Bufo gargarizans (Asiatic toad)
Lineage: Eukaryota; Metazoa; Chordata; Amphibia; Anura; Bufonidae
Exons: 4
Source: RefSeq, a predicted model, not a curated record